GACGAACGCUGGCGGCGUGCUUAACACAUGCAAGUCGAACGGAAAGGCCCUGCUUUUGUGGGGUGCUGGAGUGGCGAACGGGUGAGUAACACGUGAGUAACCUGCCCUUGACUUUGGGAUAACUUCAGGAAACUGGGGCUAAUACCGGAUAGGAGCUCCUGCUGCAUGGUGGGGGUUGGAAAGUUUCGGCGGCUGGGGAUGGACUCGCGGCUUAUCAGCUUGUUGGUGGGGUAGUGGCUUACCAAGGCUUUGACGGGUAGCCGGCCUGAGAGGGUGACCGGCCACAUUGGGACUGAGAUACGGCCCAGACUCCUACGGGAGGCAGCAGUGGGGAAUAUUGCACAAUGGGCGGAAGCCUGAUGCAGCAACGCCGCGUGCGGGAUGACGGCCUUCGGGUUGUAAACCGCUUUCGCCUGUGACGAAGCGUGAGUGACGGUAAUGGGUAAAGAAGCACCGGCUAACUACGUG
Molecule: ribosomal RNA, 468 nt
Filed under: uncultured bacterium
Lineage: Bacteria
Description: partial 16S ribosomal RNA
Rfam family: Bacterial small subunit ribosomal RNA
Source: RNAcentral